RNAcentral lists this ribosomal RNA (492 nucleotides) under uncultured bacterium. Its description in RNAcentral is "partial 16S ribosomal RNA". It matches the Rfam family "Bacterial small subunit ribosomal RNA", at positions 29 to 507 of the family's 1533-position model. The record is from RNAcentral.
AGUGAACGCUGGCGGUAGGCCUAACGCAUGCAAGUCGAACGGCAGCACAGUAAGAUCUUGCUCUUACGGGUGGCGAGUGGCGGACGGGUGAGGAAUACAUCGGAAUCUACUUUUUCGUGGGGGAUAACGUAGGGAAACUUACGCUAAUACCGCAUACGACCUACGGGUGAAAGCAGGGGAUCUUCGGACCUUGCGCGAUUGAAUGAGCCGAUGUCGGAUUAGCUAGUUGGCGGGGUAAAGGCCCACCAAGGCGACGAUCCGUAGCUGGUCUGAGAGGAUGAUCAGCCACACUGGAACUGAGACACGGUCCAGACUCCUACGGGAGGCAGCAGUGGGGAAUAUUGGACAAUGGGCGCAAGCCUGAUCCAGCCAUACCGCGUGGGUGAAGAAGGCCUUCGGGUUGUAAAGCCCUUUUGUUGGGAAAGAAAAGCAGCAGGUUAAUACCCCGCUGUUCUGACGGUACCCAAAGAAUAAGCACCGGCUAACUUCGUG